GCUGAUUUAGCUCAAUUGGCAGAGCAACCGCCUUGUAAGCGGUAGGUUGUAGGUUCAACUCCUACAAUCAGCACCA
This 76-nucleotide transfer RNA is filed under the name endosymbiont DhMRE of Dentiscutata heterogama. RNAcentral's name for it is "tRNA-Thr". It matches the Rfam family "tRNA". Rfam says of the family: Transfer RNA (tRNA) molecules are approximately 80 nucleotides in length. Their secondary structure includes four short double-helical elements and three loops (D, anti-codon, and T loops). The record is from RNAcentral. Lineage: Bacteria; Bacillati; Mycoplasmatota; Mollicutes; Mycoplasmatales.